This 77-nucleotide transfer RNA is filed under the name Escherichia phage Pollock. RNAcentral's name for it is "tRNA-Met". Lineage: Duplodnaviria; Heunggongvirae; Uroviricota; Caudoviricetes; Schitoviridae. The record is from RNAcentral.
UGGUUCCCGUGACAGGAUUCGAACCUGUAAUCAUCCGAUUAUGAGUCGGGUGCUUUAACCAAUUAAGCUAAACGGGA